UAUGUGUAAUAUUAGAAAUGGAUUGGUUGGAAAAGUAUAGAGGUAUAAUAGACUAUGAAAGUAAAAUUAUAACCUUACGAUCUGCGAAAAAGAAAUAAAAGUUGUUGUUAUCAUUUUUUUUUCUAAUGAUUGAAUGAACAAGAAUAUGGACGCUGAUCCUGCUAUGUUUUCCGUACCCAUUAUUUGCAAUUUUCCUGAU
Molecule: long non-coding RNA, 199 nt
Filed under: Carica papaya (papaya)
Lineage: Eukaryota; Viridiplantae; Streptophyta; Magnoliopsida; Brassicales; Caricaceae
Description: long non-coding RNA (CPAP_LNC009777)
Source: RNAcentral